Molecule: non-coding RNA, 1705 nt
Organism: Chrysemys picta bellii (western painted turtle)
Lineage: Eukaryota; Metazoa; Chordata; Testudines; Emydidae
Source: RefSeq, a predicted model, not a curated record
CCUGCCCCUGGAAAUUUCUAUUACAUGCAUCCGACGAAGUGGGCAUUCACCCACGAAAGCUUAUGCUCCAAUACAUCUGUUAAUCUUAAAGGUGCCACAGGACUCUCUCUUGCUUUUUCCUGACUUAAACACCCCCCAGGUGGAAUCGAAUAGCAGAAGGAUCUGAGUCCUUGCUCUCUCUUCCUUCACCCAGAGCCUGCUUCACCCUGAGGGCUCCCCUUCCACUCUCCUGUGUGGAAAAGUCCUUAUAACCCCAACAAGGCUGGGCCCAGGCUUCCUGAGGGACUCGACCCCCAACCUGGUUGUGACCACUCAGGACCCGGGCUACAGCGUCCCCACUCCAGCGGCACUCCAGGCUUCCGGUGGCACUUUGGCAGCGGGACCUUCAGUGCCACCGAAGACAACCGGAGUGAGAGAAGGGCCCACCGCCAAAGACCCGGAGCGCAGCCGGGAGGUAAUGCUGCAAGUGAGAAGAGGCAAUCUUAUGACACUGUUGCAGCCGGAGUCACAAGAUAUUUACAUGCCAGAUGCGCUAAAGAUUCCUCAGCAACUGGUACAGAUGCUGGUGACCGCCGAGGAGGUCGCUGUGUAUUUCACCCAGGGGCAGGGGGCUCUUCUGGACCCCGCUCAGAGAGCCCUCUACAGGGACGUCAUGCGGGAGAACUAAGAGACAGUGACCUUGCUGGGUAAGGGAUUCCUGGCCCCUUGGUUAUUGGAAGCUGGGAGGGUCUGCAUGUCUGACACCGGUCAGGUUCUUCCCUCAUCACUCUCCAAUGAGACCAGGGUGUCAAAACCUAAGGCACAUACUAAAUCAUCCCCAGUCAACACCCUUAGUUUGCAAGGUGGAGAAGCCGUGUAUUGUCCUGUCUGUGUUGUUUCUCGGUCGCUCACAGAAUCCCUCUUCUCCCUCCUCCUUUGGAACAGCUGCUGCCAUGUGGAGGGCUCUGCGCUGCACAGGUUUAGAAAUAGGCAGGGGUUUAACACUAGAGCUGGGUGUGUAUCACAAUUCCUCUCACCUCACUGAGGGGGCUCAGUGACCAUAUUCUGGUCCUCUUAGAUUCCACAUUCCCCAGCACAGCACAGGGACAGGUUCCAAUCAUGGAAUGUCCUUUCUGACAGACGCUCUCUCAAUCCUCCACACAUCCUGAUUUGGUAUAAAGUGCAAACUUUGUAUUCUGCAAAUCAACAAGGAGUCCUUGUGGCAGCUUAGAGACUAAAAAAUUUAUUUGGGCAUAAGCUUUUGUGGGCUAUAAUCCAAAAUAUUUAAAUAAAUGGUAUUCUAUAAUUGUUUAACAGUGUGAAUAAUCAUGAUAAUUUUUUUAUUUUUUUUAAUUGUUUGACAGCCCUAGAAGAUAGCAAUUGUAAUAGUCUAUGUUAAUCUGUAAGAAGCUAUAGAUAAACAGUGUAACCAAAGGGUUCCCGUCUAGGACUGUAUUUUGUUAAUUCAGAAGUCAAAAGGAAAUAUAACAUUUAGAUGAAACUUGGGUGUAAUAAUAUCAUUGUAUACAUAUAUAUCUUUAAAGUUUGUGGUAAACUGUCUAUGAAUGGUUUAAUGGAUAAUUAAUUACCUUAUGUUAAUCCAAUGUAGUUUUAUUACCUGUGAUGUUUGGGAAAUAGGAGGUUACUUCCAAAACCUAUUGUUCACCCAAGGACUGCCUGCUUUCGAGAGGCUGCAAAAAUGUCUAUAUAAACUCUUGGGUCCUGA